This 391-nucleotide ribosomal RNA is filed under the name uncultured bacterium. RNAcentral describes it as "bacterial SSU rRNA". It matches the Rfam family "Bacterial small subunit ribosomal RNA", at positions 28 to 407 of the family's 1533-position model. The record is from RNAcentral.
GACGAACGCUGGCGGCGUGCCUAAUACAUGCAAGUCGAGCGAAGUUUUUCUGGUGCUUGCACCGGAAAAACUUAGCGGCGAACGGGUGAGUAACACGUAAAGAACCUGCCUCAUAGACUGGGACAACUAUUGGAAACGAUAGCUAAUACCGGAUAACAGCAUUAACUGCAUGGUUGAUGUUUAAAAGUUGGUUAUGCUAACACUAUGAGAUGGCUUUGCGGUGCAUAGCUAGUUGGUGGGGUAAAGGCCUACCAAGGCGACGAUGCAUAGCCGACCUGAGAGGGUGAUCGGCCACACUGGGACUGAGACACGGCCCAGACUCCUACGGGAGGCAGCAGUAGGGAAUCUUCCGCAAUGGGCGAAAGCCUGACGGAGCAACGCCGCGUGAGUG